RNAcentral lists this ribosomal RNA (492 nucleotides) under uncultured bacterium. RNAcentral's name for it is "partial 16S ribosomal RNA". It matches the Rfam family "Bacterial small subunit ribosomal RNA", at positions 29 to 507 of the family's 1533-position model. The record is from RNAcentral.
AGUGAACGCUGGCGGUAGGCCUAACACAUGCAAGUCGAACGGCAGCACAGUAAGAGCUUGCUCUUACGGGUGGCGAGUGGCGGACGGGUGAGGAAUACAUCGGAAUCUACUUUUUCGUGGGGGAUAACGUAGGGAAACUUACGCUAAUACCGCAUACGACCUACGGGUGAAAGCAGGGGAUCUUCGGACCUUGCGCGAUUGAAUGAGCCGAUGUCGGAUUAGCUAGUUGGCGGGGUAAAGGCCCACCAAGGCGACGAUCCGUAGCUGGUCUGAGAGGAUGAACAGGCACACUUGGACCUGGACACGGUCCCGACUCCUACGGGAGGGAAGAGUGGGGAAAAUUGGACAAAGGGCGGAAAGCUUGUCCAGGCCUACCGGGGGGGGUGAGGAGGCCCUCCGGUUGGUAAGGCCUUUUGUUGGGAAAAAAAAGGAGCCGGUUAAAUACCCGGUUGUCCGACCGUAACCAAAAAAUAAGGCACGGGUAACCUCGUU